AAUUUGUUGGGAUUUUUUUUAAAGUGAGACAGUUUCAUCCACCGUCGAUUAUGCUGAUUAUACGAAUCUCAAAUUAAGCACGACGGAUGGUGAGUGAGACUGUCGCACUCUCCAUAGGGCGAGACUUUCUCACUUUGGGGACCGUCUUCAUAAAAUUUUUGUGCGAUACUAGAUGAUUUUUAUAGUGUUGCAUAAUACUGUAGUAGUAUAUCUUAUUGAUAAGUGGUUUUAGGUUUGUAAAUGGUUAGUAUCCGCU
Molecule: long non-coding RNA, 256 nt
Filed under: Ananas comosus (pineapple)
Lineage: Eukaryota; Viridiplantae; Streptophyta; Magnoliopsida; Poales; Bromeliaceae
Description: long non-coding RNA (ACOM_LNC021496)
Source: RNAcentral